Molecule: non-coding RNA, 53 nt
Organism: Salmo salar (Atlantic salmon)
Lineage: Eukaryota; Metazoa; Chordata; Actinopteri; Salmoniformes; Salmonidae
Source: Rfam
GUUGUCGUGGCCGAGUGGUUAAGGCGAUGGACUAGAAAUCCAUGCCAACAACG